RNAcentral lists this ribosomal RNA (253 nucleotides) under uncultured bacterium. Its description in RNAcentral is "partial 16S ribosomal RNA". It matches the Rfam family "Bacterial small subunit ribosomal RNA", at positions 524 to 776 of the family's 1533-position model. The record is from RNAcentral.
UACGUAGGGGGCAAGCGUUGUCCGGAAUCACUGGGCGUAAAGCGCGCGCAGGCGGCGAUCUACGUCCGGGGUGAAAGCCCAGAGCUCAACUCUGGGACUGCCUUGGAUACGGGAUCGCUUGAGGAUCGGAGAGGCAAGGGGAAUUCCACGUGUAGCGGUGAAAUGCGUAGAGAUGUGGAGGAACACCUGUGGCGAAGGCGGGUCUCUGGGCCGAUACUGACGCUGAGGAGCGAAAGCGUGGGGAGCGAACAGG